GAUGAACGCUGGCGGCGUGCCUAAUACAUGCAAGUCGAGCGAACAGACGAGGAGCUUGCUCCUCUGACGUUAGCGGCGGACGGGUGAGUAACACGUGGAUAACCUACCUAUAAGACUGGGAUAACUUCGGGAAACCGGAGCUAAUACCGGAUAAUAUAUUGAACCGCAUGGUUCAAUAGUGAAAGACGGUUUUGCUGUCACUUAUAGCUGGAUCCGCGCCGCAUUAGCUAGUUGGUAAGGUAACGGCUUACCAAGGCAACGAUGCGUAGCCGACCUGAGAGGGUGAUCGGCCACACUGGAACUGAGACACGGUCCAGACUCCUACGGGAGGCAGCAGUAGGGAAUCGUCCGCAAUGGGCGAAAGCUUGACGGAGCAACGCCGCGUGAGUGAUGAAGGUCUUCGGAUCGUAAAACUCUGUUAUUAGGGAAGAACAAAUGUGUAAGUAACUAUGCACGUCUUGACGGUACCUAAUCAGAAAGCCACGGCUAACUACGUG
This 497-nucleotide ribosomal RNA is filed under the name uncultured bacterium. RNAcentral describes it as "partial 16S ribosomal RNA". It matches the Rfam family "Bacterial small subunit ribosomal RNA", at positions 28 to 507 of the family's 1533-position model. The record is from RNAcentral.